CCCCUUUCACUUGGCUCUCGUUCUUUCUUGCCUGCCACAGUGUAAGAUACGCCUUUCUCCUUCUACCAUGAGUGUGAGGCCUCCACAGCCACAUGGAACUGUCCCCGCAUCAGAGGAACACAUUGUUUUCUUGGGAAGCCUUCAAGAGACAGUCAUGCAUGGUUUCCUGGUUGAAGGAUUAAUUAUCUGCUACCUGAUCUAAAGUUGAUAAAUGAAAAACAUCAGUAUUAACACAUGACAUGGAAAAAACACCAGAGGAGAAAAAACCACCAAAGGAAGAAAAACAAAAACUGUGAACAGUGAUGUCUCACCGGGGGUGGGAGCACAGCAGCAGACAUUUGUCAAAACUCACCCAACUCUAUAAUUUAAAUGUGUACAUUUUAUGGUAUAUAAAUGAUUCCUCAAUAAAGUUGAUUAAUCCAAAUAUAGUGGCCUUCAGAGAUGGCAGGGGUGAGUGAGAAGCCACUUUUUAUUGUUUGAUUUUGUUUAAAUAUGGAUUUUUACUUUAACAAUGUUUUUUAAAUUUAUAUUUAAAACGAUAUUAAAAAACAGAGUUUAGGCCUGGCAUGGUGGCUUACGCCCGUAAUCC
Molecule: long non-coding RNA, 589 nt
Filed under: Homo sapiens (human)
Lineage: Eukaryota; Metazoa; Chordata; Mammalia; Primates; Hominidae
Source: RNAcentral